GUGAAUCAUCAAAUUUUUGAACGCAAAUUGCACUCUCUUCGAAGAGGAGGCCUGUUUGAGGGUCAGCCUAAAGAAAAUCGACAUGUUUGCUGUUGCGCGGGGACAUUCUUCGGAAAUUGGGUCAGCUUAAACCUUUGGGUUUUGAGCGGCGUAAUAUUUGCUUUUCGAUUCCACGAACGUGUCUAAGAAUUACUUCGUACGUUUAAGGUAUCGAUU
Molecule: unclassified non-coding RNA, 216 nt
Filed under: Glomus sp.
Lineage: Eukaryota; Fungi; Glomeromycota; Glomeromycetes; Glomerales; Glomeraceae
Description: partial contains 5.8S ribosomal RNA and internal transcribed spacer 2
Source: RNAcentral